RNAcentral lists this long non-coding RNA (889 nucleotides) under Prunus persica (peach). Its description in RNAcentral is "long non-coding RNA (PPER_LNC004969)". The record is from RNAcentral. Lineage: Eukaryota; Viridiplantae; Streptophyta; Magnoliopsida; Rosales; Rosaceae.
UGGGGUUCUUGAACUUCGACAUCUUGGUAAGUUAUAAUUGAAUUGACUGAUUUGUUUUGAGCUUUUUUUCUUAGUUAACUUUUAUUGAAGUUCAUGAAUUGAAUUCUUAUAUUGAACAGUAGAGAGGACCCUUAUGUAUUCAAUGCGGUUAUGGGGUGACAGCCUUCAAGUUCUUAAAGCUCUCCAUGGAUAGGGAAUUUGGCUUUGGCAUGCACUGCGCUUUGAACUUCUAGACUAUUUGAAUACGCAUAACUUUCUUUUUUUCCCUGAUGCACAAAGGUUAUAACCUGCUUGUCUUGUGCCUUACAUGUAUUUUCACUCUCGAUGUCAUUCCUACAUUUCUUUUUUUUUUUUGGUUUCUGUCUAAUGUAAGCAUUUGUUUUGUCUUUUUGUUUCUGUAUUUCCACUCUCAAAUACACAUAAUUAUAUUUAUUUAUUUUUCCCCUUUUUGUUUUUUUAUGUGCAGCUUUAUAAUUUGGGUAAGAGUAUUUCUUUCACUUGAUCAAACAAGUCUCUUCCAGGAAUUACAGGAAAAAAAAAAAGUUGUGGAAAAGAAAGAUUAGCCUAUAAUAUUGUAUUAUAAUUUAUAAGUCUCGAGUUAUGUGUUGAACUUGGAGUUCUAUAUAAGUUGUCGCUGAAAAUAUGUUCUUCUUUGGAGUUGCAGAUUAGUAGUGUUUGGUUGACUUUCAUUAGGAAAAAUACAUAUGUAUUUGUUUCUGAUAUCCACAUGAAAUUGUCAUGACUGAAGCUACUAGAUGUAUAUAGUGAUGCUGUCAUGACUGAAGCUAGCGGACGAUAAGGAAACGCAAGUAUUUUUUAACUUUCAAAAGAUACUAUCUAUCCAAUUCAUGUUCUUGGUGAUUGUUAAAGAUGUCUGGUGGCUUUCUUU